Molecule: long non-coding RNA, 4800 nt
Filed under: Homo sapiens (human)
Lineage: Eukaryota; Metazoa; Chordata; Mammalia; Primates; Hominidae
Description: non-protein coding lnc-CCNK-4:1
Source: RNAcentral
ACUCACGCAAAGUUGCACUUCAGGACUGCCAGCGGCCGAGACAUCCGACAGACCAGGAGUCUUCUCAGCCUCCUGCCAGCACGAGCCAUGUUCCUUCCAGACCCACUUCAAAGCCCAGACACUUCGGCCAAGUUGCUGGACACCACAGGGCUUCAGGGUCCUCAUCCACACAGGGAAAACAAUACCUGCCUUCCUGGGUCGUUCGCUGUAGGAUGAGGGCUCGUCGUGGUAAAAUACCCCAAAUAGGGACCCACAUACAGUAGGCACUGGGUACACGGGAGGUGACAGAGACUGGAACUUGGGACUUUCUCUGCGUUUUCUCAUGGUCAGCGUUCCUGAAGUCCCACCAAGACAAGGACUAGACCUGGGAGGACACCGCAACUCCACAGUCCACAUGCCGCCCUCCACACCGGGCCCCCUCCAGAGAGCAGGGCUCCACUCAGCACUCUCAACAAAAGGCCUCUCUUCCUCAGCAGAGAACACACCCAGCACUGCCCCCACCCCGAAGCCGGCUGCAUCCCAACCACCAAAGCAUGCCAGAAUCCCAGGGGACUACACACAGAACCAAGACAGUAUGCCACCACCUCUGCUACCACCCACCCCAGAACCAGGGACAGAUCUUCCCAAAUCACAGAGCUGGUGGGGCCUCCCUGAUACCCAGGACGAUGUAUCAGGCACCCCAGCCUUUGGGAUCCGGUCCCACUUGCUGCCUGCCUUUUGCACACACCCAUGAGCUGCCCACUCGCCCUCUCGGUGCCUCCCUUUGGGCAGCGCAUUUUCACACCUCCAUGCCCUUGCUGGUGCCAUUCCUGCUUCUUGGAAUACCUGCCGUUUAUUCUCUCCCCAUAAAAUAUCUUUUCAGAUCCAGCCCAAGUCUAAUCCCCUCAGCAUUCCACAGCAUUGUAUUUAGAUCUGCUUCAUACUGAUCACCAUACUGAACUGUCAUCUUUUGUCUUUGACCUUGGUGUGUUCAGCAUGGCUACAGCCUGCACGUGCCAAUGUUGGCCUUUUGCUGUCAGGUGGAUGCUCACAGCCACUUUGGAAAGUGGGUUUUAACCCAGGUUCUCUAGAGAAAAGAAACUAAGUCUCAUCACAGCUGAGUGAGGGGCCCCAGGUCACAGGGCUGGUAAGUGGCAGAGUCAAGAUGCACACCCGGGUCCGUCUGACCCCAGAGCGUGUGCUGGGGUCCAGACUCACAACUGGCUGCCCCUCACACAGGGAUGGCAGACCCUGUGGUGACCAUCCCUGGGAAGGAGCCUGAGCCAGCCCUGUCUAAUCAUUCCGCCUGCACCUGGGAUUGCCAGCAAGCCAGCCCGGGAGGCCAAGCUGAAGGCCUUCGAGGGCAGGAAAUGGCCCAGAAGAAAGAGGCUGCACACAGCGAGAAAACCUCGCUCACCCCAUAGUGUUGGGUGACCGUCCACUUACCCUCAUGGGACCCCUGCAGCAGAGGUGAGCUGUGCGGCUUCAUCUGCCUGGACUUAAUUCAGGCUUUGAGAAAAACCUUAGGAAGCUGGGCCUACACCCCUCAAACAAAGAGCCCCAGCAUUCCCCUUGACAGCCAGAUUUUCACAAAAACGCCAGUGAGUCUUGGUUUCCUCCCUCAGGGUCAUAGGUGGGGGUCAGGGAGUGGGAGUGGGUUAAACUGUAGACACAGAGAAUUGUCAGACAAAGCAGAAACCUCAAGUGACUUUUGAGUACCUGGGGAGGAGGCAGGCAGCAAAACUACAUGAUGAGGACGGGCGCGGUGGCUCACGCCUGGAAUCCCAGCACUUUAGUAGGCCAAGGUGGGCGGAUCACCUGAGGUCAGGAGUUGGAGACCAGCCUGGCCAACAUGGUGAAACCCCAUCUCUACUAAAAAUACAAAAAUUAGCUGGGCAUGGUGGCACGCACCUAUAAUCCCAGCUACUCAGGAGGCUGAGGCAGGAGAAUUGCUUGAACCCAGGAGGCGGAGGUUGCGGUGAGCUGAGAUCACACCACUGCACUCCAGCCUGGGUGACAAAGUGAGACUCUGCCUUAAAAAAAAAGAAAAAAAAAAAAAAAACUAUAUGACCAGUAAUGUUCAAGCCAGACACAGAGAACCGGAGGUGCCCAGGCCAAGGAGGGAAAGGUCCGCAAGGUAGGGAGCUGUGUGAGCACACUCAAGGUGCAGGGCGCUGGGCCACGCGACGCAGAAAGCAGCUCUGUUUGCUAUAGAAUGAGGCAGGUCGGGGGAAAUGGGAAAUGCAACCGGAGAGGCAAAUAUAUACCCAAGAGCAUUCCACAAAAGGGGUCUCCAUCCAGUGCAGGCCUGGCUCAUUCCACAGGGCUGUCCUUACUCCCGCACACUCGCCCUCCUGACCCAGGGUAAGUGUUAGGUGUGCAGAAGACACCCUGCUCCCGAGGUGCUUUCCUGGGGAAGCCCUGGAAGAGUAUCAGGAUGACCCAAGACCUCACCGCAUCUGGCAACCCAGAAAUGGUAUCGUUACAGCAAGAAAUGAGAGCACGGCUUCACCGUCAACUUCUCAACAACAUUUAUUCACUUGUUCCUUCCUCCCUUCCUUCACAGAUGCACGAUGUGUCUACUCUGUGCCAGGCCCUAUGCCAAGAGGAGGGACACACAAAGAAAUGAAGGUCUGUCCUCAUGGAGCAUAAAGUCUAGAGCAAGAGGCCAAUGACUCCAGGAACAUCUAGGCAGGGUUCAGGCCACUCAGUCACUAGUGAAGGGUGUGCCAAGCAGUGUGGAACCCAGAGGAGGGAGAGGCUGACAUCCUCGGGGGACCAGGAAAGAUUCUCCAAGGAAGAGACCCUGGUGUUCAUUCAGAAUGGAAAAUAAGAGUGCAUCAUGCACAGUGGCUCACGCCUGUAAUCCCAGCACUUUGGGAGGCCAAGGCAUGCACAUCACCUGAGGUCAGGAGUUCAAGACCAGCCUGGCCAACAUGGUGAAACCUCGUCUCUACUAAAAAUACAAAAAUUAGCCAGCAUGGUGGCAGGUGCCUGUAGUCCCAGCUACUUGGGAGGCUGAGGGAGGAGAAUUGCUUGAACCUUGGAGGCGGAGGUUGCAGUGAGCCGAGGUCGCACCACUGCACUCCAGCCUGGGUGAUGGAACAAGACUCCGUCUCAAAAAAAAGUGCAUCAUGCAGAGAAGGGAGGGAAAGCGCAUGCCUGGCAGAGGUACUGCAUGCCUAAAGGCGGAGGUGGGACUCCAGACUCAAAGAAAGGAAGAACUGAAGGCAAAAUUGAAAAGGGAGAGGUUCAGAAAACACGCAAGAAACUUAGCUGGAUAUAGAGCAAAUUCCAUUGCUGUAAAUCCCAUCAUAGUGAAAACUUUCCUAUUUCGUCCAUGAAAAAUUUCAAGCCCACACUCAAGGCCUACUCAAGUCAAGAACUGUUCAGUAUUAAGGAAAAUCUCAAUAUAACAAAAGGAUGCAUGUGAACCCUUCAGAGGACCACCUUCCCAAGCUGCUUUCCAUAAGGUAUAAAGGAAUGAAACUUAAAAUCCAGUCUAUGAAGAUCACUAGCAAGGAAGGUGGCUUCUAGGUUACCCUCUCCGGCAGGAGUUAAACGAUUCCAGCAAGCCUCACAUCUGAAUACCCUAGGCCUGUGAAUCCACCUUCAGAAACAAGACAGUCCAGGCUGUCGGUGGAACAGGGAAGUAUUAAAACUGAACUAUGGCUGCAUGCACCCGAGAUUUCCCAAAACAGUCUGUGUUUCAACCGUUCAAUUCUUUGGUUAGCCCAGGUGUGCAGUUUCAGGCUCAGGAAACAGCCACCCAACCCCAAAAUAAAGCAACAUUGCCAGCCGCAGGGGUAUCAUGGCACAGGGUGAAAACAGUGGUGUUUGUCAGUAAGAUGGAAGAGCCGGGGCAGGACGCACAGAGCAAUUUUCCAUGUGGCAAGUCAUCUGCAGCAUUUGUGAAAAGCUACAGCACAUUCCUAGAGGUUGUCUUUAGAGGUCCCGCCUUCGGAUAAGGCACAGAAAUCCACUGGAAAUAAUAAAGAAUGCGUUGUCAGAGUCCCUUGAAAUCUGCUUUCUGUGAACUUCCCUGAAAAGGGCCUACGCUGUUCCAGUGGGUUUUGGUGGGCCGAUAGCUGAGCUCACUUUGAUGGUGACGUUCCCCCACGCCGCCCAACAUGAGAGUUUUCUGAAAGGAUUCUAGAACUCUGGGGACAGGAAUUUUGCAGAGAAUGUGAAAGAGAAGCACAGAGCAAACCAUCCUUAUCAUUUAAUGGACAAAUAAAGAGGGAGUUAGGAGAUAAACAGGCAAAAAAAAAAAAAAGGCCAGGAGUCGGCUGCAGGUGUGUGAGCGGGGAUCAGUGUGUAGCUGUUUCUCACUCACACGUGGGAUCUCAGUCUCCCCAGAAGCACCCCAUGCAGGCCUUCCUCCUCCUCCUCCUGGAGACAGGAAGUCUCCCCUCUCCAUAAUUCAAGACUUCCUUCACCAGGCAAGCCUCCAUCUUUCCUUUCUUUAAAUCCACAAAAAAUCUCGACAUUCCACCCCAAGAAGUAUGGCAGAGCAGUAAAUCUCAUUUUAAUGGAGUGUACGUUUAGCUCCAAGGAGAUAAUUGACGUUAUGGAGAGCCUCGAUACCGAGUUAUAUAGGUUAGCUAAUGCAGAGGGGACUCAUUACUGACACACUACAAACAAGUAGUAAUAUAUGUAUAUUGUUCUGAGUGGCGUUAGAGCAAAAGUGUUCCGGUCUGCGGGGAUUGAUAAAGCACAAGAAAACAGCAGAUAUGCACUUGUAAAUUUGUCUCAUUUGUCUCUGAAGUUAAAGGUUAUUCCCUUGUUCUGAAUUUGUAAUAAAAACAUGCUAGCCCAGGG